Molecule: ribosomal RNA, 467 nt
Filed under: uncultured bacterium
Lineage: Bacteria
Description: partial 16S ribosomal RNA
Rfam family: Bacterial small subunit ribosomal RNA
Source: RNAcentral
ACGAACGCUGGCGGCGUGCUUAACACAUGCCAGUCGAACGGAAAGGCCCUGCUUUUGUGGGGUUCUCGAGUGGCGAACGGGUGAGUAACACGUGAGUAACCUGCCCUUGACUUUGGGAUAACUUCAGGAAACUGGGGCUAAUACCGGAUAGGAGCUCCUGCUGCCUGGUGGGGGUUGGAAAGUUUCGGCGGUUGGGGAUGGACUCGCGGCUUAUCAGGUUGUUGGUGGGGUAGUGGCUUACCAAGGCUUUGACGGGUAGCCGGCCUGAGAGGGUGACCGGCCACAUUGGGACUGAGAUACGGCCCAGACUCCUACGGGAGGCAGCAGUGGGGAAUAUUGCACAAUGGGCGGAAGCCUGAUGCAGCAACGCCGCGUGCGGGAUGACGGCCUUCGGGUUGUAAACCGCUUUCGCCUGUGACGAAGCGUGAGUGACGGUAAUGGGUAAAGAAGCACCGGCUAACUACGUG